Molecule: ribosomal RNA, 485 nt
Filed under: uncultured bacterium
Lineage: Bacteria
Description: bacterial SSU rRNA
Rfam family: Bacterial small subunit ribosomal RNA
Source: RNAcentral
CUACGUGCCAGCAGCCGCGGUAAUACGUAGGGCGCGAGCGUUGUCCGGAAUUAUUGGGCGUAAAGAGCUUGUAGGCGGUUUGUCGCGUCUGCUGUGAAAGGCCGGAGCUUAACUCCGUGUAUUGCAGUGGGUACGGGCAGACUAGAGUGCAGUAGGGGAGACUGGAAUUCCUGGUGUAGCGGUGGAAUGCGCAGAUAUCAGGAGGAACACCGAUGGCGAAGGCAGGUCUCUGGGCUGUAACUGACGCUGAGAAGCGAAAGCAUGGGGAGCGAACAGGAUUAGAUACCCUGGUAGUCCAUGCCGUAAACGUUGGGCACUAGGUGUGGGGAACAUUCCACGUUUUCCGCGCCGUAGCUAACGCAUUAAGUGCCCCGCCUGGGGAGUACGGCCGCAAGGCUAAAACUCAAAGAAAUUGACGGGGGCCCGCACAAGCGGCGGAGCAUGCGGAUUAAUUCGAUGCAACGCGAAGAACCUUACCAAGGCUU